This 464-nucleotide ribosomal RNA is filed under the name uncultured bacterium. Its description in RNAcentral is "partial 16S ribosomal RNA". It matches the Rfam family "Bacterial small subunit ribosomal RNA", at positions 28 to 507 of the family's 1533-position model. The record is from RNAcentral.
GACGAACGCUGGCGGCGUGCUUAACACAUGCAAGUCGAACGGAAAGGCCCCUUUGGGGGUGCUCGAGUGGCGAACGGGUGAGUAACACGUGAGUAACCUGCCCUUGACUUCGGGAUAACUUCAGGAAACUGGGGCUAAUACCGGAUAGGAAUCCUUGCUGCAUGGUGGGGGUUGGAAAGCUUCGGCGGUUUUGGAUGGACUCGCGGCUUAUCAGCUUGUUGGUGGGGUAGUGGCUUACCAAGGCUUUGACGGGUAGCCGGCCUGAGAGGGCGACCGGCCACAUUGGGACUGAGAUACGGCCCAGACUCCUACGGGAGGCAGCAGUGGGGAAUAUUGCACAAUGGGCGGAAGCCUGAUGCAGCAACGCCGCGUGCGGGAUGACGGCCUUCGGGUUGUAAACCGCUUUCAGCAGGGGCGAAGCUUUUGUGACGGUACCUGCAGAAGAAGCACCGGCUAACUACGUG